GAAAUGCGAUAAGUAGUGUGAAUUGCAGAAUUCAGUGAAUCAUCGAAUCUUUGAACGCACAUUGCGCCCCUUGGUAUUCCAUGGGGCAUGCCUGUUCGAGCGUCACUUGUACCCUCAAGCUCUGCUUGGUGUUGGGUGUUUGUCCCCGUCUCCGCGCGUGGACUCGCCCCAAAGUGAUUGGCAGCCGGCGUACUGGUCCCGGAGCGCAGCACAUGUCGCGCAAACGAGUGCCUUGGUACGGCGGCGUCCAUAAGCCCCUCUCUCACGCUCUUGACCUCGGAUCAGGUAGGGAUACCCGCUGAACUUAAGC
Molecule: unclassified non-coding RNA, 310 nt
Filed under: plant metagenome
Description: partial contains 5.8S ribosomal RNA, internal transcribed spacer 2, and large subunit ribosomal RNA
Rfam family: 5.8S ribosomal RNA (bases 1-105)
Source: RNAcentral